AGCUGAAGGCAGACGCUUGACCGAUUGAGCCACCCAGGCGCUCCUGGUCUCUAUGUAUUUUUAUCAGUUCUGAAUUUUUCUGGGAAAUCUUUCACAUUCUUUCUUAGAUCCAAGGUCUAUAUACAUAAUGUGAUUUAUAACUAUGCCCUAUGGAAAGAGCACCCCAUUCUUGUCUUUUUGUGUUACAGAUUUCUCUUGUACAAUUUCUCAUUGAAAAUUGCCUUAAAAUAUUUGGAGAAGACAUCACUUCCCUCUUGGGAGAGAACUCAAUGAGUCGUGGUAACAGCGAGCAGGCUGCAGACUCCAGCCUGAAGACUGUGAAAACCCGUUCUUUCAGAGAUAGGGCGUUUUGUCGGGGUUCCAGCACUUCCCAGCACAACCAGUGCACAGCCCCACCUUCUGCAAAGCCAGGACAGCUCUUUGGAGUUCCCCUCAUGGAUGUGUGUGAUAAAGACAACUUCUCCUUCCCAAUUCUGGAUUUUCUUAGAAAUAUACACGGAAGUAUAUUUUUAUCUGAUCACUAUGACAAAUGGCUCGGUGUUAUUGAUCAAGGCAACGAAGAGGAGAAGAUAACUGCAGCCCAGAGGUAAUGAUGCAAGAAUUACUCUGGUCAC
Long non-coding RNA from Mirounga angustirostris (Northern elephant seal), 614 nucleotides. RefSeq lists it as uncharacterized. Lineage: Eukaryota; Metazoa; Chordata; Mammalia; Carnivora; Phocidae. The transcript has 3 exons. The record is from RefSeq and is a predicted model, not a curated record.